Molecule: ribosomal RNA, 271 nt
Filed under: uncultured bacterium
Lineage: Bacteria
Description: partial 16S ribosomal RNA
Source: RNAcentral
CUGCUGCCUUCCGUAGGAGUUUGGGCCGCGUCUCAGUUCCAAUGUGGGGGACCUUCCUCUCAGAACCCCUACGCAUCGUCGGCUUGGUGGGCCGUUGCCCCACCAACUACCUAAUGCGCCGCAUGCCCAUCCAUGACCGGGGUCGCCCCCUUUGACCGGCAGGGGAUGUCCCCUCCCGGCAUUAUGUUGUAUUAGGCGGGAUUUCUCCCGGUUAUCCAUCUGUCACGGCCAGGUUGCAUACGUGUUACUCACCCGUGCGCCGGUCGCCGGG